Molecule: long non-coding RNA, 1288 nt
Filed under: Theobroma cacao (cacao)
Lineage: Eukaryota; Viridiplantae; Streptophyta; Magnoliopsida; Malvales; Malvaceae
Description: long non-coding RNA (TCAC_LNC005623)
Source: RNAcentral
AUUACUUGAGAAUUACACAGCAUUUAGAAGAAAAUUCUUCCCUAUAUCCUUCAAGGGUAUAAUAGGUCAGUAGCAUGGUUCAAACUAAUACCAUUUACAACAUUCAAACCCUACUUGCAGCAAAAACAUUUUAUCCACCACCUAUAAAACAGGCUCUCUAACACAAUAUGUUCACCUUAUCUUCCAUUAUAGGGCAUUUCAAGAAGAAAUUACAGAUAAUCAAGCUACCCCUUUUAUUAUACUGAAACAAUAUUCGUGCUAUAAAGAGCAUGAGAAUUGAUGACGGGAUUUAAGUUGCCCUAACAAGAUGUGAAGUGCACUUCCAAAAUGCUUAUAGAGAACUGCAGCAGCAAACGAUUGACCAUAAGACUAGAGUGACAGCACUAGCUGAAACAAUCUUGUGGAUUGCAGAUAUAUCAGUAGUAACUGGGAACACUUUUGCAUAUUGACUUUUAGAUAGCUUAUAGCUGCAUAAUAACAAUAAUAAACAAUCAAUCAUCACUAUUUAGUUAGAUGCUUAGUCGGGCAGACUUGCUCCAUGUGCCAAGUAAACAUAUGUAAAAAGUUUUAACCAUUUGUGGGAUUGACCAGAAUCUUAAGCUCAGCAUGCAAUGCAUCAAGUGGUUUUGAGUAGAAUUUCUUUGAAAUCGUGCAGUUUUCUAGUAAUUUUGGUUGUUCAAACAAGACUCUGCCAAGAUAAUAGUAGACUUUCCCCAUAGGCAGAAAAAAAGAAAUCAUCUUAUAAUCAUGAAGAAACAUAUCAGAGAUGCACACUAGCAACAAAGCAAUGGGGGAGUCAUGCUGUUAAGAUGCCAACUAGAGACAAAGGGAGAUUAACGCAGACCGCAUGUUGAUUUUUUAUAUUCAUUAGAAACAUUGCAGAUUCCAACACUUCUAAACUUAUCACUUUUUAUAUGAGUGGGCAACAAAAAAGACUGUUUGCAUGUGAGAUGAGCAAUUAAUUAAUUUCAAAUCACCAAACAAUUCAAAGUGUGUCACUCAUCAAUCAGCAGGUUGAAAUGAAGCAGAUACUCCCAACAUCAUGUGCUGUCUGCUGUGUUCAUGCACAAAUUCAUUCACAUUAUACAAAUUAAAGCUCAAGAUCAAUUUGCACCCAAUCAUAAUAAUGUCAGAGAUACAGAUAACUAGCUGCAUGCCAACAAAAACAAAAGACAAACAGACCCAUAGAGACAAAUGAGGAAAAGAAAAGAGGCCAAAUAAAGAUCAUUUGAAAGUAGAAGGGUGAAUACACACAAAAGCACAUCCUCAGAUAUACAAGCUUCAAUUU